Brassica napus (rape) is the source of this 1700-nucleotide long non-coding RNA. RefSeq lists it as uncharacterized. NCBI's taxonomy places the organism in Eukaryota, Viridiplantae, Streptophyta, Magnoliopsida, Brassicales, Brassicaceae. The transcript is spliced from 2 exons. The record is from RefSeq and is a predicted model, not a curated record.
UCAUGUUUUUAUAGGUCGGAUUUUAGAAAUUUACCCCAUCUAUCAAUUGUCUAAGCCGGCUUUGGAUGUAACAAUAUCUUUAUAUAUAAAGUUGAUUUGUGUGAUGCACACAGCCGUCCACGACACCAAAAUAGGUUGGGGGUUUUUUUGACACGUGUCGGCUCGGUGGGACGUCUGUGUAACCCACGCUCUCCCUUCUUUACGAGCGCGUCGUGUGGUGUGUGCACUCUCCCUUGCUCGCGCGUCACGGUGAAGCACGAUUUUGGGCAUCACAGACAAAUUGUUUGGGCUUAUGUCUAUUAAAAUAGGCCCAUAAGUUUUUAGGGUUAUUUGCCCCUGCGUCAUUCUUCUUCUUCCGUGCCUCCAACCUGCAAGAGAAACCAUAGAAACCAAAACGUCCCAGGAUCAUAACUCUUACAUUUAUUCUGAGUUUUCCAUUCAAUAAUCCACUCUUCAUGCAUAAUGAUUUCGAUCUAUCUCUUCGUUCACCCUCAAACCGCCUACAACGCCAUCUAUAAAUAUCGGCCCUCACUUCCCUUCACCUCGCAUCUGAAACGAUUUGCUCAAACAUACGAUCUCAUAGAAGCAACAUAUUCAGAUGGCGAAUUCAUACACUCUGCUUGCGAAUUUGAGAGCCGGUCAAUGCUCUAAUACUGCUGAGGUCCGCUUGCUGAGGUUCUGGGAGGCCUGAAAUAUCAACAAAGGAGGGGAGCUGAUGAGUAUUGAGAUGCUGCUCAUCGAUGAGGCUGAUACCCUGGUUUAAGGGUGUGUUCCUGCUGUUCACCAACGUAAGUUCAGGGAACGUCUUACUGAAGGAUCAGUUUACACCCUCAGCCGGUUUGACGUUACACGGAGCAACCCGAAAUUCAAGUUGACUGAUGGCCCUGUCUCCAUCCGUUUCAAUGAAGGAACUGAUUUUGAGAAGCUUGUUGCCACUGCUAGAACCAUACCUACAGAACAUUUUCGCUUCCGACCACAUGAACAGAUUAUUGAGUUAGCAAACACCUCCAGACAGCUCCUAGGUAUUUCUUUCCGUAAUAUAAGUUUUUUUUUUUAUCAUUUCACACGGUAACGUGAUCAUACUAUAAUACCUCAGAUGUUAUUGGGGAGGUAUUCCCUGGUCUUGGCACAGCUGCGCAAAACCCCUUGGUCUUAAAACACCUAAAUCUCUGAUCUCUCACCGUCCAAUCACUGUCAUCGCUUACCAUGUACCAAAAUCUGAUGAACCUUUGCGUUUCUGCCGGUAACUUGGAGGCGCAUUACUUAUGUGGAAUGCAAGAAUCUUCUUACGAGAACAUAGCUGCUGGGUCAGAUUGCAGCACAAGGUUCGUAUGAUAGUGCUAUUUACCUUUAUGGUAUAAUUAUGUUAUGUAGAGGAGAUCCGGACAUCGGGAUACCACUAUUGGAUUCACUUGGAUGGAGAGAAAACAAAGCACGGUCCGACGCUUGCUGGCAAAACAUCAAAACAUCUCUCCAUGGAGUAAGAGUCAAAAGGUUUGAGAUUUACAUCACAACUUAUAGGGCCACAAGGCCUACAAUAAAUUGUCACAGAAACGACAUUGCUAUCCGUUGUGAGACAUGUUAUUAUUUUAAGCAAAUGAAAAAAAUUGUUUUCAUUAUCUAAACAAAUGAUGUAACUGCUGCGGUCCCUAUAUCGACUCCAAUAUUAUAAAAUUUAAAUAAAGUUUCCCUUACUAAUA